GAUGAACGCUGGCGGCGUGCCUAAUACAUGCAAGUCGAGCGAACGGACGCGAAGCUUGCUUCUCUGAUGUUAGCGGCGGACGGGUGAGUAACACGUGGAUAACCUACCUAUAAGACUGGGAUAACUUCGGGAAACCGGAGCUAAUACCGGAUAAUAUUUUGAACCGCAUGGUUCUAAAGUGAAAGAUGGUCUUGUUGUCCAUUAUAGAUGGAUCCGCGCUGCAUUAGUUGGUUGGUAAGGUAACGGCUUACCAAGGCAACGAUGCAUAGCCGACCUGGGAGGGUGAUCGGCCACACUGGAACUGAGACACGGUCCAGACUCCUACGGGAGGCAGCGGUAGGGAAUCUUCCGCAAUGGGCGAAAGCCUGACGGUGCAACGCCGCGUGAGUGAUGAAGGUCUUCGGAUCGUAAAACUCUGUUAUUAGGGAAGAACAUAUGUGUAAGUAACUGUGCACAUCUUGACGGUACCUAAUCAGAAAGCCACGGCUAACUACGUG
This 497-nucleotide ribosomal RNA is filed under the name uncultured bacterium. RNAcentral's name for it is "partial 16S ribosomal RNA". It matches the Rfam family "Bacterial small subunit ribosomal RNA", at positions 28 to 507 of the family's 1533-position model. The record is from RNAcentral.